RNAcentral lists this non-coding RNA (1071 nucleotides) under Caenorhabditis japonica. RNAcentral's name for it is "Eukaryotic large subunit ribosomal RNA". It matches the Rfam family "Eukaryotic large subunit ribosomal RNA", at positions 1704 to 2751 of the family's 3401-position model. The record is from Rfam by way of RNAcentral. Lineage: Eukaryota; Metazoa; Nematoda; Chromadorea; Rhabditida; Rhabditidae.
AAGGAACGGACUUCCCUGGAAUUGGUUCAGCCAGAGAUGGGGACGUUGUUUCCGAAAAGCACCGCGGUUUUCUGUGGUGUCUCGUGCUCUCUGAACGGCCCUUUAAACACCAAGGGAGGCUAUUAAUUUGCACUCAAUCGUACCGAUAUCCGCAUUAGGUCUCCAAGGUGAACAGCCUCUAGUCGAUAGAAUAAUGUAGGUAAGGGAAGUCGGCAAACUAGAUCCGUAACUUCGGGAAAAGGAUUGGCUCCAGUGGUCGGAACGGUUGGCCAGUUGGUUGAUGCUUGUCCGGCGCUGUUCUGUCUGCUUGAUGCUUUCGGGCUGAUGGCGGCCUAGUGAUAGUGCUUGCUUGUUGACGCUUUCUGGUGUGUGCUUUGACCUCGGUCUUAGUAUCCUGAUCGUUCAUCUAAACGACUUAAACUGGAACCGGUACGGACUCAGGGAAUCCGACUGUCUAAUUAAAACAGAGGUGACAGAUGGUCCUUGCGGACGCUGACUGUCACUGAUUUCUGCCCAGUGCUCUGAAUGUUAAAUCGUAGUAAUUCGAGUAAGCGCGGGUAAACGGCGGGAGUAACUAUGACUCUCUUAAGGUAGCCAAAUGCCUCGUCAUUUAAUUGUUGACGCGCAUGAAUGGAUUAACGAGAUUCCUACUGUCCCUAACUACUAUCUAGUCGAAACCACAGCCAAGGGAACGGGCUUGGCAAAAAUAGCGGGGAAAGAAGACCCUGUUGAGCUUGACUCUAGUUUGACAUUGUGAAGAGUCAUGAGAGGUGUAGCAUAGGUGGGAGUCUUCGGACGCCAAUGAAAUACCACCACUUUCAUCGACUCUUUACUUAUUCGGUUAAAAAGAGAAUUGGUCGCAAGGCCUCUUUUCGAAGUAUUAAGCGGAUCCAUUUUAUGGAACCGUGACUCUCCCCGAAGACAGUGUCAAGCGGGGAGUUUGACUGGGGCGGUACAUCUAUCAAAUCGUAACGUAGGUGUCCUAAGGCGAGCUCAGAGAGGACGGAAACCUCUCGUAGAGCAAAAGGGCAAAAGCUUGCUUGAUCUUGACUUUCAGUACGAGUACAGACC